Molecule: long non-coding RNA, 2005 nt
Organism: Sus scrofa (pig)
Lineage: Eukaryota; Metazoa; Chordata; Mammalia; Artiodactyla; Suidae
Product: keratin, type II cytoskeletal 7
Source: RefSeq, a predicted model, not a curated record
CAUAUUACAGAUACCACUGCAGCGCCAGGAAAUCUGUAUGCUCUUCAAGCUGCAAGUGAGAAUUCCAGGGAAUCUGGAUAUUCUUUACCACGUCCCCACUCCUCCUCCAGGAAGCCUUCCCUGACUGAGCUUCAGAUGGCUGGCACCGCUGUCUCCUGCCGCUCUCCGCGUUGCCGGCAUCAAGGAAUCUGGGCGCCUAUGACCCUCCUCCAUACUCUGGACGGUUCCGGCUUGGACCGAAAGCCUGGGCCUCGGCGGAGGGCGGAAGUGCGGCCCGGGGAGGGGCCGGCAGGCAGAGAAAGGUGGCCGGCGGCCAGCCCCGCCCCUACCUGUGUAAGCCGAUCCGCCCCGCGCCUAGCGGAUAAAAGUGGCCAGUCUCCCAGAGGUCAGCGAGUUCGGCCCUCUGUCGCCUGCCGCUCAGUCCAGCCCGCACAGCCAGCAUGUCCGUCCACUUCAGCUCCCAGGUCUUCAGCUCGCGCUCGGCCGCCUUCCCGGGGCGCGGCACCCAGGGGCGCCUGAGCUCAGCGCGCCUUGGUGGCUUGGGCAGCAGCAGCAGCAGCAGCCUCUACGGCCUGAGCGCCUCGCGGCCGCGCGUGGCCGUGCGCUCAUCCUACGGGGCCCCCGUGGGCGCGGGCAUCCGCGAGGUCACCAUCAAUCAGAACCUGCUGACCCCGCUGCAGGUGGACAUCGACCCCUCCAUCCAGCAGGUGCGCCAGGAGGAGCGGGAGCAGAUCAAGACCCUCAACAACAAGUUCGCCUCGUUCAUCGACAAGGUGCGGUUCCUGGAGCAGCAGAACAAGCUGCUGGAGACCAAGUGGGCGCUGCUGCAGGAGCAGAAGUCGACCAAGAGCAGCCGCCUUCCUGGCAUCUUUGAGGCCCAGAUUGCUGGCCUGCGGAAGCAGCUUGAAGCACUGCAGCUGGAUGGGGGCCGCCUGGAGGCGGAGCUUCGGAGCACGCAGGACAUCGUGGAAGACUUCAAGAAUAAGUAUGAAGAUGAAAUUAACCAUCGCACGGCUGCUGAGAAUGAGUUCGUGGUGCUGAAGAAGGAUGUGGAUAUCGCCUACAUGAACAAGGUGGAGUUGGAGGCCAAGGUGGACGCCCUGAAUGAUGAGAUCAGCUUCCUCAGGACCCUCUACGAGGAGGAGUUGAAAGAGCUGCAGUCCAAGGUCUCGGACACCUCCGUGGUCCUCUCCAUGGACAACAGCCGCUCCCUGGACCUGGACGGCAUCAUCACCGAGGUCAAGGCCCAGUACGAGGAGAUCGCCAACCGCAGCCGGGCCGAGGCCGAGGCCUGGUACCAGACCAAGUUUGAGACCCUCCAGGCCCAGGCUGGAAAGCACGGGGACGACCUCCGGAAUACCCGGAAUGAGAUUGCGGAGAUGAACCGAGCCGUCCAGAGGCUGCAGGCGGAGAUCGACAACAUUAAGAACCAGCGUGCUAAGUUGGAGGCCGCCAUCGCCGAAGCUGAGGACCGUGGGGAGCUGGCCCUCAAGGAUGCUCGCGCCAAGCAGGAGGAGCUGGAGGCCGCCCUGCAGCGGGCCAAGCAGGACAUGGCCAGGCAGCUGCGCGAGUACCAGGAGCUCAUGAACAUCAAGCUGGCCCUGGACAUCGAGAUCGCCACCUACCGCAAGCUGCUGGAGGGCGAGGAGAGCCGGCUGACUGGAGAUGGAGUGGGAGCCGUGAACAUCUCUGUGGUGAACUCCACGGGUGGCGCUGGCAGCCGGCUGAGCUUCGGGGGAACCAUGGGCAGCAACGCCCUGAGAUUCUCCAGCGGUGGAGGGCCUGGGACCCUCAAGAGCUAUUCCUUUAGGACCACAUCUGCCACUGGCAGGAACACCCACAACUGAGCCCUGGGUGUGGGGAGACCUGUACCACUUGCCCCCAUUGUCACAAGAGGACUCCCAUCCCUGGUCCCAAGACUGAGAAGCAGUCUGAAAAGUGAUGUCAGAACAGCUUUCAAUAAAGCAGCCCCUUUCUGAGGCCUGGGUGGGCCCCAUGCCCAGCA